UUCUUCUCCCUUUCAUCACUCUCGUUCCCAAAUAACAUACCUGCCCGCACUUCAAAGACAAUACAGCUUUGCUGCUGCAAGCGCAGGUGAAAUGAGGAAUCCUCUCUCCUGACGAGGUCUGCGGAGGCUGUUUCGUGAGAGAAGAAAGGGACGGAGGGAGGCAAGGACAAGUGGGAGGCACGAGGAGACGGCAAGGGCAAGGGGGGGAUCAGUCCACAGAAGCAACGAACUGGCACUUCUAUGGAAAGCACCCAGCAUGACUGGGACCUCUCCCUUCUCCUCCUGACCUGACUGAUCGCACACUCCUCAGCUUGGAGCACUCUGCAAGUCCCGGGAGAGGUGCACGUCGCAUGCAGCCUUUCGCAGUCCCGGGGGAAGGUCAUGGAUCCAUUCCUCGCAGGCAGCCAAGUGAUUCAGCAAGAGCUACGCCAAGCAUCGGGGAAGAAACCUGCUGUGGGCGUCCCGACCACACGCAGAACUGACGAGCUCUUCCACAGCAGACAACACGGAUGUGGGGAAAAAGGCAGCGUACAAAUUCUUUGAAAGCCACGUGAGCUUAGAUAUCUCAAAUGGCCAAUUUGUUUUUUGUUUUUUGUUUUUUUUUUUAAAAAGUGGGUGAGGAGAAUAAACAUCCCUCUAAAAAAAGGCUCUAGCAAUUACUCCAUACCUUGUAACAGUUCUGUAUCGUUUGUAUAUCCUAAUAAUAUCUAUCGUAAUUCAGAUGUGAAACACAGAAUACAAUAAAGUAUGGCACUACUUCAAGGCAAAUCUA
Long non-coding RNA from Dromaius novaehollandiae (emu), 772 nucleotides. RefSeq lists it as uncharacterized. The transcript is spliced from 2 exons. The record is from RefSeq and is a predicted model, not a curated record. Lineage: Eukaryota; Metazoa; Chordata; Aves; Casuariiformes; Dromaiidae.